UACAUGGGGUGCAAACGUUGCUCGGAAUUAUUGGGCGUAAAGCGCACGUAGGCGGUUCGUUAAGUCGGAUGUGAAAGCCCUCGGCUCAACUGAGGAAGUGCACCCGAAACUGGCGAGCUUGAGUACGAAAGAGGAUCGCGGAAUUCCCGGUGUAGAGGUGAAAUUCGUAGAUAUCGGGAGGAACACCGGUGGCGAAGGCGGCGAUCUGGGUCAAUACUGACGCUGAGGUGCGAAAGCGUGGGGAGCAAACAGG
Molecule: ribosomal RNA, 253 nt
Filed under: uncultured bacterium
Lineage: Bacteria
Description: partial 16S ribosomal RNA
Rfam family: Bacterial small subunit ribosomal RNA
Source: RNAcentral